This is a long non-coding RNA of Homo sapiens (human), 2154 nucleotides long. Ensembl annotates it as cutA divalent cation tolerance like, pseudogene. Its record names the gene CUTALP. NCBI's taxonomy places the organism in Eukaryota, Metazoa, Chordata, Mammalia, Primates, Hominidae. The record is from Ensembl.
GGCUCCCUCAGUCUGGCGUCAUCUAGGUCGCUGCUCAGGGAAAUGCGGAGGCCAGUAGGCUUACGUGUUUACCGCGUAGGGCAAAGCCUUGCCAAAUUCCCGGCCAGCGGAGCGGCGAGGGUGGGGACUCACGGGAAGUUAAACAGCCUCGUCGGCGUCCUCGAGGCUCCAAAACCAGGCUCUAGGCGGGGACGACUGCAGCCGUUAUGGAGGCCACCGCGGCUACGGCCGCGGCUGAGGCCUCCCCAGGUGGAGCGGUGGCCUGGAGGGGAAUCUUGAUCCUGGGCCAGCCACCUGUCAAGAGGAGGCGGAGCGUCAUGCCUCUGGAAGACUGGAUGAAUAUUCUCCAGGAGCCUGACGAAGGCGUGAGUAAUAGGGACGUGCGCCGCCUUGUUGGUGUUGAUCAGUCCACCAAGGAGAAGCAGCUGGUCGCAGUGGCCGUACCUGUAAUCCCAGCGCUUUGGGAGGCCGCGGCGGGAGGAUCGCUUGAGCCCGGGAGUUCGAGACCAGCCUGGGCAACAUAGUGAGAAACCCGUCUCUACCAAAAAGAAAAAAAAAAAAAAAGGAAAAAAAUUAGUGCGGUGUGGUGGCACGCACCUGUAGUCCCAGCUACUCGGGAGGCUGAAGCGGGAGGGUCCCCUAAGUCUAGGAGGUCGAGGCUUCAGUGAGCGGUGAUUGUGCCACUGCACUCCAGCCUGGGCGACAGAGCAAGACCCUGCUUUCCCCUCUUGUCCUCCACUACCCUCAGGAAACCAAGAAAGACCAGCGUGGAGAGUUGGUCGCCCAUCUGCUCUAAGCUGCUGUGUAUUCCCCUGUAAUGUAAACAUCGUGAAGGUGGAGACCCAGUUAACCUUUUAGGUGGAAGGCCAGAUGACAGAGGGCGGCAUCUGACCCGGAAGGCCCUCUGCAACCAGGCCAAAUACAUCUACAGGGAACCAAUGGGAAACAUCUGGGGAGGACAACCCAAAUAAGUAUCAUGCGAGCAAGGGAUGGUUUGAGAACUUUAAAAAUCGCUGCUGUUUUGCAACAUACGAAGUUGAUGGGGAGGAAGGACCCUUAAAUCCUGAGUGGGUAUCGAGUAUUCCAAGCAACUGGAGAGAGGCUUUGUGCCUCAACAGGUCUUCAACGCCAAGGAGAUGACCCAUCUUUUGCAGUGCAUGCCUUCCUACUUUUGGGGCAAAAGACAAAAAUCUGGAAAGCUUAGAGGAAGCUAAGGACAGGAUUUCCCUCAUUUUUUUGUGGCAGUGCCUCAGGUGACAAAAUGAUAAAACCACUGCUGCUUUACAAAGACUCUAACACCCCACUUGUCUUUUAGAGAUAAACGCCUUCCUGUUUUCUUGUAAUCACACCCAGAAUCACCACUGCCACUUUUUGGAUUAGUUUUACAAUUUUUUUAUCCAUCAAAUCCGAAGUCAUUUAACAAAAAAAAUCUGGAAAUCAGAAUGUUGCUAACUGUGGACAGAGGUCCCAAUCACCCAGAUUCAUUAUUCUUUGUUCAUUCUAAUGUUGAUACUGUGUUUCUCCCUCAGGAAGGCCCUAGCUUUCUUCAGCCCUUGGGUCAGGGUAUAACUGAAGCAUUUGAACAUAAUCAAGCAUAUGUUUGACCACUUUGCUGACUGUAUUGAAAAAACCCUCACCUUACUCUGAAAGAAGCAUGGCAACAGUACAAUAUUGCCGAUGCUUUGGUAGUGAUAAAAGAGGUGAUGGGUGAUAUAAAAUCAGCCACUCUUAAGCUUGCUGGAAACUGUGGGAGGAUGUGUGAAUGAUGCAUAUUUCCCUAGAGCUAAUGAAGAAGUUAAAAAAAAUCUUAGUGUCUGCAAAACAGGAAGAAGUCUUUGCAGAGGAAAUUGAAUGCUGUCUGAUGCUACAAUUCAUAUGGAUCCUUUCCUGGAUUGAAGCCUGACUUUUAAAAAAGGUUUCAAUAAAUUGCUUAUACCUAUGAAGAGAUGCAAAAGAACCUUCAAAAUAAAGCAAAGGACUUGAAGAAAGAGAAGGAAGACAUGAAGAAGAGGAUGUCAUUUAGGUGAAGGUGAUGGAUACAGAAUCUGAGUCUGAGGGGAGCCUGGUUGACAGAGAGACAAAAAAAGAAAUUUUUUUUUUCUGACUAAAAAAAAAAAGGAAAUUUUGUUAACAAAAUCAAGAAUUUAAAAAAAA